AUAACCAAAAGGGUGAAAGAUUGUUAGCUAAAACACCCCAAUGGUGGCCGGCCCUUUGAUGUGUUAGAGAGCUUUUUCUUUUGCCUCUUUGUUGUUUAAACACUUCAAAAAACCCUAAUGAACUUUAUCACUAUAAAGUUCCUUAUAUUAGACAAAAGAAAACCUAGUCAACACUUGACCAAAUAUCUCUCCUUCCCCACAUAAUAUGGCCGGCCCUAUUUGUGUUGUUUGGGCUUUGGGCUUUCAUUUAUUUCAAGUCAUCCAAUGCUUGAAUAAAAGCCCAAUGGGUUUAGGCCCAAUGGGCCCAAUUAAACCCGAACGUUUCUUUAAGCCCAAAACGAUUUUUAUCGCUUUUAUGAUUUCUUUAGACUUU
RNAcentral lists this long non-coding RNA (373 nucleotides) under Malus domestica (apple). RNAcentral's name for it is "long non-coding RNA (MDOM_LNC018936)". The record is from RNAcentral. Lineage: Eukaryota; Viridiplantae; Streptophyta; Magnoliopsida; Rosales; Rosaceae.